Molecule: non-coding RNA, 178 nt
Filed under: Aneurinibacillus thermoaerophilus
Lineage: Bacteria; Bacillati; Bacillota; Bacilli; Caryophanales; Paenibacillaceae
Source: RNAcentral
UCGACUUCGAGGUCGAAUCUGAAGGAAGUCGGCGGCAAACCUUUGGCCUGAGGAAUACGAAACGAACCUCAUAGGAGGCCAACGUUCUUUGGAUGAGUUUACCAAACAAAACAAAGUCCAUACUGUAGCCAACAGAGGCCAUAGUACAUGCUAUGUAACGACAUGAAAUGAAAAGACC